GAUGAACGCUGGCGGCGUGCCUAAUACAUGCAAGUCGAGCGAACAGACGAGGAGCUUGCUCCUCUGACGUUAGCGGCGGACGGGUGAGUAACACGUGGAUAACCUACCUAUAAGACUGGGAUAACUUCGGGAAACCGGAGCUAAUACCGGAUAAUAUAUUGAACCGCAUGGUUCAAUAGUGAAAGACGGUUUUGCUGUCACUUAUAGAUGGAUCCGCGCCGCAUUAGCUAGUUGGUAAGGUAACGGCUUACCAAGGCGACGAUGCGUAGCCGACCUGAGAAGGUGAUCGGCCACACUGGAACUGAGACACGGUCCAGACUUCUACGGGAGGCAGCAGUAGGGAAUCUUCCGCAAAGGGCGAAAGCCUGACGGAGCAACGCCGCGUGAGUGAUGAAGGUCUUCGGAUCGUAAAACUCUGUUAUUAGGGAAGAACAAAUGUGUAAGUAACUAUGCACGUCUUGACGGUACCUAAUCAGAAAGCCACGGCUAACUACGUG
Molecule: ribosomal RNA, 497 nt
Filed under: uncultured bacterium
Lineage: Bacteria
Description: partial 16S ribosomal RNA
Rfam family: Bacterial small subunit ribosomal RNA
Source: RNAcentral